GUCUAUAGCCAUACUACCCUAAACCUGCCCAAACUCAUCUGAUCUUGGAAGCUCAGGAGAGUCAGACCUGAUCAGUACUUGGAUGGGAGAUGUCUCGUAGGUAUGGGGC
Peromyscus maniculatus bairdii (prairie deer mouse) is the source of this 109-nucleotide ribosomal RNA. The record is from Ensembl. Lineage: Eukaryota; Metazoa; Chordata; Mammalia; Rodentia; Cricetidae.